RNAcentral lists this ribosomal RNA (379 nucleotides) under uncultured bacterium. Its description in RNAcentral is "bacterial SSU rRNA". It matches the Rfam family "Bacterial small subunit ribosomal RNA", at positions 527 to 905 of the family's 1533-position model. The record is from RNAcentral.
GUAUGGUGCAAGCGUUAUCCGGAUUUACUGGGUGUAAAGGGAGCGUAGACGGAGUGGCAAGUCUGAUGUGAAAACCCGGGGCUCAACCCCGGGACUGCAUUGGAAACUGUCAAUCUAGAGUACCGGAGAGGUAAGCGGAAUUCCUAGUGUAGCGGUGAAAUGCGUAGAUAUUAGGAGGAACACCAGUGGCGAAGGCGGCUUACUGGACGGUAACUGACGUCGAGGCUCGAAAGCGUGGGGAGCAAACAGGAUUAGAUACCCUGGUAGUCCACGCCGUAAACGAUGACUACUAGGUGUCGGGCAGCAAAGCUGUUCGGUGCCGCAGCAAACGCAAUAAGUAGUCCACCUGGGGAGUACGUUCGCAAGAAUGAAACUCAAA